GCGUGGCUGGCGCGGCGCGGCAUCGUCGGUCGGUGUCGGAGUCGGAGUCGGAGGAGCCGGAGUCUGAGGAACCGGAUCCGAGGCUGAGGAGGAGGAGAAGAGGAGAAGGAAGAGGAGGAGAAGAAGGAGGAGAAGGAUUAGGAGGAAGGCCAAGGAACCGGAGGAGGCCAAGAACCGUCGCUCAGCCGCGUCCGCGGCGCCGCGAGGAUGGAGGCCCCCGGCCCGCGCCCCGCGCCGGCCCUCGGCGGCCCCGGCCCGCUGGGCGAGUUCCUGCCGCCGCCCGAGUGCCCGGUCUUCGAGCCCAGCUGGGAGGAGUUCGCCGACCCUUUCGCCUUCAUCCACAAGAUUCGGCCCAUAGCCGAGCAGACAGGAAUCUGCAAGGUGCGGCCGCCGCCGGAUUGGCAGCCACCAUUUGCAUGUGAUGUUGACAAACUUCAUUUUACCCCACGUAUCCAGAGGCUGAAUGAAUUGGAGGCUCAAACUCGUGUAAAAUUAAAUUUCUUGGACCAGAUUGCAAAGUACUGGGAAUUACAGGGAAGUACUCUGAAAAUUCCACAUGUGGAGAGGAAGAUCUUGGACUUGUUUCAGCUUAAUAAGUUAGUUGCAGAGGAAGGUGGAUUUGCAGUUGUUUGCAAGGAUAGAAAAUGGACCAAAAUUGCCACCAAGAUGGGGUUUGCUCCUGGCAAAGCUGUAGGCUCCCAUAUCAGAGGGCAUUAUGAGCGAAUUCUCAACCCCUACAAUUUAUUCCUGUCUGGAGACAGUUUGAGGUGUCUGCAGAAGCCAAACCUGACCACAGACACAAAGGACAAGGAGUACAAACCCCAUGAUAUUCCCCAGAGGCAGUCUGUGCAGCCCUUGGAAACGUGUCCCCCAGCUCGACGAGCAAAACGCAUGAGAGCGGAGGCCAUGAAUAUUAAAAUAGAACCAGAAGAGACAGCAGAAGCCAGAACUCAUAACCUGAGACGUCGAAUGGGAUGUCCAGCUCCAAAGUGUGAAAAUGAGAAAGACGGGAAAAGCAGCCUCAAGCAAGAACCUGCUGAGAGGAAGGAGUGUAUUACAGAGAGCGAGAAGGAGAAACCCAGGAGUCGAGCGAAAAAAACCACCAGUGCUGUUGACCUGUAUGUCUGCCUCUUGUGUGGCAGUGGCAACGAUGAGGACCGGCUUCUCUUGUGUGAUGGGUGUGAUGACAGUUACCACACCUUCUGCCUGAUCCCGCCGCUCCAUGAUGUUCCCAAGGGAGACUGGAGGUGUCCUAAGUGUUUGGCUCAGGAGUGCAGUAAGCCACAAGAAGCAUUUGGCUUUGAACAGGCAGCCAGGGACUAUACCCUCCGUACUUUCGGGGAAAUGGCAGAUGCGUUCAAAUCUGAUUACUUCAACAUGCCAGUCCAUAUGGUUCCCACAGAAUUGGUUGAGAAAGAAUUUUGGCGACUGGUGAGCACUAUUGAAGAGGAUGUUACCGUGGAAUAUGGAGCUGAUAUCGCCUCGAAGGAGUUCGGCAGUGGCUUCCCGGUUAGAGACGGGAAAGUGAAGCUCUCGCCUGAGGAGGAGGAAUAUCUUGACAGUGGCUGGAAUUUGAACAACAUGCCAGUGAUGGAGCAGUCUGUCCUCGCUCACAUCACCGCUGACAUAUGCGGCAUGAAGCUUCCUUGGUUGUACGUGGGAAUGUGCUUUUCUUCCUUCUGUUGGCAUAUUGAAGACCACUGGAGCUAUUCCAUUAACUACCUGCACUGGGGUGAGCCAAAGACCUGGUAUGGAGUCCCAGGGUACGCUGCUGAGCAGCUGGAGACGGUGAUGAAAAGGCUGGCCCCGGAGCUCUUCAUCUCCCAGCCCGACCUCCUCCACCAGCUCGUCACCAUCAUGAACCCCAAUACCCUGAUGACUCACGAAGUGCCUGUUUACCGAACUAAUCAGUGUGCUGGGGAGUUUGUGAUCACAUUUCCAAGAGCCUACCACAGCGGUUUCAAUCAAGGUUUUAAUUUCGCUGAGGCCGUUAACUUCUGCACUGUCGAUUGGCUGCCCUUAGGCCGACAGUGCGUAGAGCAUUACCGCCUGCUGCACCGCUACUGUGUAUUUUCCCACGACGAGAUGAUUUGCAAGAUGGCCUCCAAGGCGGACGUACUAGACGUUGUAGUGGCAUCAACUGUUCAGAAAGACAUGGCCAUUAUGAUUGAGGACGAGAAGGCUCUAAGGGAAACUGUUCGUAAAUUGGGAGUAAUUGAUUCAGAAAGAAUGGAUUUUGAGCUGUUGCCAGAUGAUGAGCGUCAGUGUGUAAAAUGCAAAACCACAUGCUUCAUGUCUGCCAUCUCCUGUUCUUGUAAACCUGGCCUGCUUGUUUGCCUGCAUCAUGUAAAGGAAUUAUGUUCCUGUCCUUCUUAUAAAUAUAAACUGCGGUAUAGAUACACUCUGGAUGAUCUCUACCCCAUGAUGAAUGCACUGAAGCUUCGAGCAGAAUCUUACAACGAAUGGGCCUUGAAUGUGAACGAAGCUUUGGAGGCGAAGAUUAAUAAGAAGAAAAGCCUCGUCAGCUUUAAGGCUUUGAUUGAGGAAUCUGAGAUGAAGAAAUUCCCGGACAACGAUCUUUUACGUCACCUCCGCUUAGUGACACAGGACGCGGAGAAAUGUGCCUCUGUCGCCCAGCAGCUGCUUAACGGCAAGAGGCAGACGAGGUAUCGAUCUGGUGGAGGGAAAUCCCACAAUCAGUUGACAGUGAAUGAGCUCCGACAGUUCGUGAGCCAGCUGCACGCCCUGCCCUGUGUCCUCAGUCAGACGCCACUGCUGAAGGAUCUCUUGAAUCGUGUAGAAGAUUUCCAACAGCAUAGCCAGAAAUUGCUCUCUGAAGAGAUGCCCAGUGCCGCUGAGCUGCAAGACUUGCUAGACGUCAGCUUUGAAUUUGAUGUUGAGCUUCCCCAGCUUGCUGAGAUGCGUGUCCGGCUGGAGCAGGCCCAUUGGCUGGAGGAGGUGCAGCAGGCUUGCCUAGACCCCAGCUCCCUCACCUUAGAUGAUAUGAGACGUCUCAUAGACCUGGGGGUGGGUCUGGCCCCAUAUUCAGCUGUGGAGAAGGCUAUGGCACGGCUUCAAGAACUGCUCACGGUAUCAGAGCACUGGGAUGACAAAGCCAGGAGUCUCCUCAAGGCCAGGCCUCGGCAUUCAUUGAACAGCCUUGCUACGGUGGUUAAGGAGAUCGAGGAGAUCCCCGCGUACCUGCCCAAUGGUGCGGCUCUGAAAGACUCUGUGCAGAGAGCCAGAGACUGGCUUCAGGACGUAGAGGCCCUGCAGGCUGGAGGACGUGUGCCAGUGUUAGACACACUGAUAGAACUUGUUACACGAGGACGAUCUAUCCCGGUGCAUCUGAAUUCUUUACCGAGACUGGAGUCACUAGUAGCUGAGGUUCACGUUUGGAAAGAAUGUGCUGCUAAUACAUUCCUGACUGAGAAUUCGUCCUAUUCUCUCUUGGAGGUGCUGUGUCCUCGAUGUGAUAUUGGCCUUUUGGGAUUGAAGAGGAAGCAGAGAAAGUUAAAGGAGCCCUUGCCAAGUGGCAAGAAGAGAAGCCCCAGAGUAGAGAGUCUGAGUGACCUGGAGAGAGCUCUGACUGAAAGCAGAGAGACUGCUUCAGCUAUGGCAACGCUUGGGGAAGCCCGCUUACGAGAAAUGGAAGCCUUGCAGUCUCUCAGACAAGCCAAUGAGGGGAAAUUGCUGUCGCCAGUCCAGGAUGUGGAGAUGAAGGUCUGCCUGUGUCAGAAGGCCCCAGCUGCCCCCAUGAUCCAGUGUGAACUCUGCAGGGAUGCUUUCCACACCGGCUGUGUGGCAGUACCCAGUACUGCGCAGGGCCCCCGGAUCUGGCUGUGUCCCCAUUGUCGGAGGUCAGAGAAACCUCCAUUAGAGAAAAUUCUGCCCCUGCUGGCCUCCCUCCAGCGCAUCCGAGUUCGCCUUCCCGAGGGAGAUGCGCUGCGGUAUAUGAUUGAAAGAACCGUGAACUGGCAGCACAGAGCCCGACAGCUGCUCUCGUCAGGUAACCUCCAGCCCACGCAGGAGCGGACGGGCUCAGGACUGUUAUGUGGCAGACGGCAGGCCGCAGCAGGACAGGCGCCAGAGACAAGCAAGCUAUCUCAGCCUCCUGCCUCCACGUCCUUCUCCUUGCCCGGUGCCUGGGACGGCAGAACCUCAUAUUUACACUCUCCCUUCUCUGCUGGACGGAGCUGUAUCCCCCUCCAUGGUCUAAGCCCAGAAGUGAGUGAGCUGUUGAUGGAGGCCCAGCUGCUCCAGGUGUCCCUUCCUGAAAUUCAGGAGCUCUACCAGAUGCUACUCGCAAAGCCCAGCCCCGCGCGGCAAGCUGACCGCAGCUCUCCAGUGAGACCCAGCAGUGAGAAGAGUGACGGCUGCCGUGGGAAGCGAGACGGAGUCAGCGGCCUCGAGAGCAAACUGAAGAGACGCCUGGAAAGAGAAGGUCUCUCCAGUGAGCGGUGGGAUCGAGUCGCCAAAACGCGGACCCCUAAAAAGAAGAGGAUCAAACUGAGCCACCGCAAGGACACGAACAGUUUCAAGUUAGAGCGGGCACGUGGCCAUGAGCUGGUCCCUUCUGCCGACGCUCAGUCCCUGCCCGCAGACGCGUCCUGCUCGGAGCACGAGGACUCUGGGGACGAGGACGCCGUCUGCCCGGCCGUGAGCUGCCUGCAGCCGGAGGGAGACGAGGCUGUAGGAUUUCUCACCGAGCGCAAAGGGCUUGCCUGUGUGUCGCCUCUGUCCUGCAGGAAGCCUGGGAUUUGGACGCGCUGUAAAAGGAAGGUCUGCUGCUUUACCGCUUCGUUUCAGCAUCCUGGGAGGAGGGGCUUGUUUACCCCUCUCAGAGCGACUCUGAAGCCAGAGAUGCCACCUGAGGUUGUGGCAGUUGGUAGAAACCUGCUUUGUUCUGCCUGCACGCUCUAGUAACGAGAGGCAGAGGUGUUCAUGAGACUUGAGGUCUUCGGUGGAAGCAUGGGUCCCUGGGCAGGGGUAAGCCUGCGGACAGGAUGGGUGUCUCCUGGAGGGCUGAAGCCCGGCCCCCCUGUCCCUCUGGUUGGGCUCUCAUCGUGGGCCCCGCCGCUCCUUUAAUCUCACCGCCCUCUCAAAUGGAGACCCGCUUUCGGCUUGCACCAGGCCUUCGUGCCUGUGGGUGUUUUUCUGGGCUCAGCCCCACCUGGGGUUCCUGACACGUGACACAGACUGGGGUGGACUGUCGAUGCCACGUACCUGGGACAGGAGGCGGAAUGGCACAGCAGGGAUUUUAACCGUCGUUGCCUGUUGUUGUUCAGUACCUGUGCCUAGUCUGUGCUGCGCCUUGGCCUCUGUUAGAAUGGUCCUUCCUCGGCGUAAAGAUGCAGAGAACACAGUUCCUUUCUGCUGAACUUCACCUGCUGGGAGGAAGAGCCGAGGAAAAGGAUGAAGAGCCCGGUGCCUUUCCUUGAGCACCGGGGCGAUGGCUCCCAUCUUCCACCCUCUCCAGCCCAGCACAUGGAUCCUUUGAGGCCCUCAACUUCUCUGGGCGGUUCCGUGGGACAGAGAAGCUGCCUGGACCUCGUAUGAAGUCGUACCAUUAUAAAUCCACUUCCAAAGCAUGAGUCCAUCUGUAAAGUGUACCUUUCACUUCUUCCAAAUUUUUGUAAACAUUUUCGUGUUUCAAGAUUGCUUACAUAGGAAUACAUCUUCACCUUUUUAUCAGUUAGGAUGGAACCUUUAGAUGGUGACCCAGCUCCCUCUUCUGUUCUGGGCUACUUGUACUAGGAUGAAGGGUGGCGAGCGAUGUGCUCUUAACUUUCAGGAGGACCCGCUGCGUUGGAUGGAAGAAUGGGAUUGCGAGGUCGUUGGAGCUGCUGCAGAUAUCAAGGACAGCGGUGUGUCUGUGAUGGUGCUUGCCUUACUGUGCCUCUGCGUGUUCCCCGUGAGGCCAGGGUCUGUUGGGCACGGGCCUCCCAACCUUGUUGUGCUCGAGACAUUGACUAGCUGAGGUCGUAGUGGUCGUGGGUGCCCAGCCCGUUUCCUGCUCUCUUCAUUCCCACCCCCACCCCCCGCCCUCCAAGAAACUUCUCAAGGAGGGAGAGUGAGCAAGUUAGAGGGCACUUGUUGCUGCAUGAAGGGCAAGCAGUUCCCAGAAAGCAGAGCAGACGGAGGCGGGAAUGAGGCAGCGUGCCUGGGAACGGGGCUCUCGGCUCAGCGAGACCCUACCGCCGCCCAAGGCUCUGCCCCUGGAGCCCUGCUCGUGGGUGCGGGCGGAGGUUUCCCUGGUCGGAUCGGCCAGGAGAGGAGCAGAGUGGGCUCAGGCAGUCUCUGGCCGCCUUAGACGUUACCAAGGCUCCAGCCCUGCCUCGCAUGCCCCCUUCCCCAACUUCAGUCUUCGGGAAAUGGGGAGGGAGGGAUUGGGGACCGAGGCCCUCGGUGCAGGGAUCACAGUUUACAGGAUGACCACAGGGAAAGGCUGGGCCGGCAGAGGACUGAGCUGUGCUGACUGGGAGCCUCCCAGCUGGUUCCGGACUCCAGAGCCCCGAGCAAGCAUCGUGGGGGUGUGGCCUGAGCAGGACUGCGGGGGCACUCAUGAGCCGGACCCCAAGCCUGUGUCCUAGAAAUAACGCAGCCAGGCCUUCCCACUGUGCCGAGACCGCUGCACGGCACAGCGCUUUACGGCGGCCGGGUGCCGUUCUUAAGGCUUUACCCCCGCUCCGGAGCUGACAUUCCCCCUUGGGUGUGCGGCCAUGGCCGGAAUUUUGAUGGCAAAUUGUGCCCUUAAUCCUGAGCUUCAGAAUUGGAAAUAGGGAGCAGGUGGGUAUCAGUCGAGGGAGGGACGUCCAGGUUCCUGAGGAGAUUGUGCCUCCGGCCCGGCUUUCCUGUCCUAGCCUGAGCUCAUGGCAAUCACAGUUCUGGUCGACGACCGCAGUCUCUGAAUGCGCCGACACAGUCGGGUGGCCCUCAGGACAAUCCUGCAGGAGCGUCUCGCGAGCGGCAGAGGGCAGCAGAGGGCCGGCUCCGGGCCGCUUUCCUAACAGGUCCCUGAGCCGGGCCGCUGCGGCCCCUGCUGGAGCCCUGCCUGGGCCUCUCCGUCCUGCCUCUACGCCAGCGGCUGCAACGUGGAGCAUCUUAGAGGUUCUGCUCCGUUUAGGGGAGACUGAGUCGUGGACUUCAGAUGGGCAGUCAGGCCUUCUACCCAAGCUGCUGCUGGUCCCAGUUCUGUGCCCCGCGCGAAUCUUGUAGAUUCGGGGCCCACAGAACGUGGUUGCCGUCCCCGAGCACCUCAAGUCCAGUGGGGGAGGGGCCUGUGUAAACAGAUCUUCGGGAUUUCUUGCUCUCAUGGGCGUCACAACUGUGACGGGGUCGGAGAAGAGCUGCCCUUGGGUUAUCUCACUACAAACUGGCCGUGUGGCCAUGCUGAGGAUGAAGGCCUGGCCCACUUGACUCCCUUCCCCGCCCCCCCCACCCCCGACCCAAUUGCCACCCAGUUCCCACCUAAGGGAAUCAGAGAUGCUGACUGCACGUUGUUCUGGGGAAGGGGCAGGCCUUGCCUCCGAGUGGGACCCUUGGGUACAAACUCUGCUCAUGUGAGUAGAGAAAACACCUUCAAGGACGCCCGGUGUGGCCAGAACAAGAUGUAUGUGUGGGGCGAGCAACGACGAGAAAUAAUAAAAGCCGACACUUCAUACAUGCUGGGCACUCUCUGAAAGCCUUGCAUGAAGUGACUCAAUCUCCGCAGCCUCCCAAUGAGGUCAGUACUCGUACCCAUUUCACAGAUGGGCAACUGGAUUUCAGAGAGGUUAAGACUGAAGGCCAUCUAGCUGGUAUAGAGGAGCCAGCAUUCAAACCCAGACAGUCUGAUUCAAGAGUCUGGACCCGUACAAACAAGAUGGAAGGCCUCUGUGUAUCCUUGAGCCUAGCGUUUGGGAUGUGUGGCUCCCCAGAGCAAUAAAGAAUUCCUAAAAACUCCACAGCAAAGUUUCUGAUGCCCUUAAAGGCUGUGGGUUUUCUUCCACCACCAGUAGGGUGCAGCUCACAGAAGCCUUACUUUUAGAGAACUGAGUGACCUUUUGUUUUUCGCCUUAAACUUGUUUGGCUAAUUCAAGUUGGAAAUGCAUUUCAGCUGCCUCGUUAAGGUCUGGGUAUCGGCUGCUUCAGGAUGCAGGCCUGGGUUCUGGCACCCUGCCCUUAGGGGCUCCUGGGGUGGGCAGAGGCACAUCACUUGGGAUGGAGGCCAGGCAUAGCCGUUGAGAUCCUGGCAACGAGAGCAAGUCAGCGCCAGGGAACAAGGCCUUUAGCGAUGGGAGGGCCGUGGCUUCCAGGUGACUGGCCUGACUGGCCCGGCCUGAAGCAAGGGCUCUGUGGUAGCAGAGCCUCAUCUGGGCAGAAGUCCACAGUCAACACCCGCAGCCCAGAUAAAGGACCCAUCAGGCCGUGCCGCUUGUGAGCUUACACACGCACGCACACAUCCACACACACGAGAAUGACAUAAGAGUGACGUACUCCCUGGCUCCGAUGGAGCCCCUUCUGGGCCGGGUGUUUGGACCCCCUCCAUUGAUCCUCCCCUCAUUCGCAUGAAGUGAACUCACCUGCUAAGGACCCAGGCCUGUGGGAGGCAAGCUGAGAUUUGAACCCAGGCGGCUGGGCUUCAGAACCCAAACUGGCCGGCAACACACAUGCGGCCCCCUUUGAUAAGCCAGCAGGGGAGGGGACCAGCCUGGGCCUCCAACCACCUGACAUGAGUGGCUUUUCUAAACCACAAACUUGACCAGGUUCCUCCUGUGUGUAGACGCCUUCAGUGGUCUCCGUUCUCUUCUGAAGAAAAUCCUAACAGCCUGGUGUAGAGCCCAACCACCGUGGUCUUGCCCUCGCGUCUGACCUUGCACAACCCCCCAGUCCCAGCACACGUGGCCCCCGGUGGGGCUAUUUUCCUGUCCCUAAAGCAUCAGAACAGUAGUUGCCUGUUGUCAAGGUCCUGCUCAGGGUUUCUGAAGUCUUUUCUCAGUGGUGACAGCAGUGCCUCGGUAGGUGCUGGAGUCUCCAUCUGACAGACUCGGGGGCUGAGCUUCAGAGAGUUAGGAGACGCGCCCCUGGCCAUGCGGCUUCCUGUCCGACCCCCCAGUUUAACUGUCCACCUGACCCACUGCUGCCAUCUGGCCUGGAGGCACUGGAAAGUCACUUGGUCAGUCACUGCGGGACCCUUGCCGUCCCCCUGGGGGUCUCUCUCGGGUUCCAGUUGGUGCACGUGGCUUCCACCGUCUUCUCUAAGGAGGCCAUGAGCCCUGGGCGGCGUGCAAGUGUUGGCCUCCGUGCCGCCAGCCCCUGGCGGGUGCCUGAUAGACAACAUCCUCAGUGAUGGGAGAGCUCUGACUGGACAAGAUGAGGCACGCGAAUGAGGCUGAAGUCGAGGUUUUGCUCCAGAUUUGCACCCGAGGCCCGGAGAAGGGUGGCUGGUGGCCCUGGGACACCCAAGCCGGCCCUGUGUCCAUCGAGGCCUCUCCCCCUGCUGUCCUCUCCUCUAGCUUCCGGUGCUCACCUCGCCGGGCCCCACCAGGCCGCUCUGAGACACGACCUCAACACAGAGAGAGUUCAUGGACGCGGGCAUGGUAAAGGGCCCGGGUGAGUUAUUCAGAAAAUGUCUCAACUGAUUUGCUUUUCACCCCCUCGAUGGUCAGUGUCCUGAGAGCCAUGGUUGCCCUUGGGAAAGAGGAGUCGUCCUGCCCGCUGUGGUUUCCAGCUCGGAGCACGUGCCCUGCACACGCCGGGGGGCAUGCCCCUCUGUGCAGAGCCCCUCCUGCAUUUCUGGAUUCACUGGAAGAGGGCCGGGGGGUCUGGGGAAGGGGCAGCCUAGUCCAGGAGAAACCUCUCCUCUCCUGGGGGAGUGAGAACCCGGGCUCAGAGGAUUUACCUGGGACACAGGACUGACUGGAGCUUCACCGAGGAAGGAGGAAAUACAGUGAUAAAAUCCGGUGUUUAAAAUUAUUACUCCCUUUGACUCUGAGAAAGAAGAGAAAUCACGUUCACUUUCAGCCAAGUUAGGGGAUGGAAGAAUGUGAAAAGAGGAAGGCCCCAUGAUGUUCACUAGGUCCUUCGAUCUGAUGAGAAUCUGAGAUCGUUAUCUUUGUGACUUAGUUUCUUCUCUAUGCCAGGUAUGGUCCUGAAAACCGUAAGAUGCCCCCUCUCUGGCAGUGUGAAAUUAGAGAUGAGAAGGCCUCCUCCACCCUCCCCAUUCUGUAGUAUUUAAAAGUUUCAUUGGACUCACUUUUAAAAAUUGUUUUUAUUUUGUUCAUUGCAUGGGGAAUAAACAAUUAUAGUUCACUUAAUCAGCUUCCUGGAGGAGUUGGCCUUCACCGGCUUUUUUGGGUUUUGGGGGUUUUUUAAAUUAAAAUGUAAGAUAUUAUGUGAAUUGUAUGAUAUUUAACUUUAUCCAUGUUUCAUUUUUUGGCCCCAUCUAAUGAGUUAAUGUCUUCUGUAUUAA
Molecule: RNA transcript, 10453 nt
Organism: Globicephala melas (long-finned pilot whale)
Lineage: Eukaryota; Metazoa; Chordata; Mammalia; Artiodactyla; Delphinidae
Gene: KDM5B
Gene name: lysine demethylase 5B
Source: RefSeq, a predicted model, not a curated record